RNAcentral lists this long non-coding RNA (258 nucleotides) under Glycine max (soybean). RNAcentral describes it as "long non-coding RNA (GMAX_LNC004705)". The record is from RNAcentral. Lineage: Eukaryota; Viridiplantae; Streptophyta; Magnoliopsida; Fabales; Fabaceae.
CUGUCGCAACCUACCCUUCGGCGGGAGGGCGACGCGAGACUCGCGGGAUGCGUGUUCCACGAAAGGAAUACGCGCGGAGUCGCCACCAACGUUUAUUUGAGGAAAACGUCGGAAAAACCGGAAAAGACGCGAUCUACGAACUUUUUAGUGAAAGGUUCGGGAGUUGUAUUCACGCACGGGGAAGGUAUUAGCACCCCACGCGUCCGUCCCAAGGGACGGCAGCCUUUAAUCGAAUGUGCAAACAUGACUUUGAUUUUU